CGGGUCACUGCAGCCUGUCUGACCGUUGCCUAGAACAGUCGAGUGUGCUUUGUUUUCAGUGUUUGAGGUUCCACAACCAGGCCUAGAGCAGCGCAGAUUCUCCUCCUGGCCUAGACCGGCAGCCAGUGGCUGGCUGCUCCAGUCCUGGGCAUAUGCAGCAGGAUGGAGAGAGGACUCCCUCGUUGUGCCCUGAGAUCACCCAGGGCGGUGCGCACAGCCGGCCUCAGUGCCAUUGUUGAGCGGGAGCUGCCUGUAAGAUGCGCGUAUACCUGCUGCCUAUCUGCACUGUGCCAAGAAAGACCUCUUCCUGGGCGAAGGUGCAGAUCAUCAGGCACAGAGCAAGCCCUGGUCCCAGGCCGGAUGCAGAAUUUGCUGUGAGCCCUGGGACCCGGGGCCACCUGCCCGCAGCCUGGCCCGUCUCCCCCGAGCCCGUGCAGCUGCAGGCUGCGUGCCCCGCCCUGCUCACGUCACCGCACCAAGCC
Molecule: long non-coding RNA, 482 nt
Filed under: Fukomys damarensis (Damara mole-rat)
Lineage: Eukaryota; Metazoa; Chordata; Mammalia; Rodentia; Bathyergidae
Description: lncRNA (ENSFDAG00000026794.1)
Source: RNAcentral